This 492-nucleotide ribosomal RNA is filed under the name uncultured bacterium. Its description in RNAcentral is "partial 16S ribosomal RNA". It matches the Rfam family "Bacterial small subunit ribosomal RNA", at positions 29 to 507 of the family's 1533-position model. The record is from RNAcentral.
AGUGAACGCUGGCGGUAGGCCUAACACAUGCAAGUCGAACGUCAGCACAGUAAGAGCUUGCUCUUACGGGUGGCGGGUGGCGGACGGGUGAGGAAUACAUCGGAAUCUACUUUUUCGUGGGGGAUAACGUAGGGAAACUUACGCUAAUACCGCAUACGACCUACGGGUGAAAGCAGGGGAUCUUCGGACCUUGCGCGAUUGAAUGAGCCGAUGUCGGAUUAGCUAGUUGGCGGGGUAAAGGCCCACCAAGGCGACGAUCCGUAGCUGGUCUGAGAGGAUGAUCAGCCACACUGGAACUGAGACACGGUCCAGACUCCUACGGGAGGCAGCAGUGGGGAAUAUUGGACAAUGGGCGCAAGCCUGAUCCAGCCAUACCGCGUGGGUGAAGAAGGCCUUCGGGUUGUAAAGCCCUUUUGUUGGGAAAGAAAAGCAGCAGGUUAAUACCCCGCUGUUCUGACGGUACCCAAAGAAUAAGCACCGGCUAACUUCGUG